Molecule: ribosomal RNA, 469 nt
Filed under: uncultured bacterium
Lineage: Bacteria
Description: bacterial SSU rRNA
Rfam family: Bacterial small subunit ribosomal RNA
Source: RNAcentral
GACGAACGCUGGCAGCGUGCUUAACACAUGCAAGUCGAACGGUGAUCUUGAGAGCUUGCUCUUGGGUGAUCAGUGGCGAACGGGUGAGUAACACGUGAGUAACCUGCCCCUGACUCUGGAAUAACUUCGGGAAACCGAAGCUAAUACCGGAUAUGACACAGAGCCGCAUGGUUUCUGUGUGGAAAGUUUUCGGUUGGGGAUGGACUCGCGGCCUAUCAGCUUGUUGGUGAGGUAAUGGCUCACCAAGGCGACGACGGGUAGCCGGCCUGAGAGGGCGACCGGCCACACUGGGACUGAGACACGGCCCAGACUCCUACGGGAGGCAGCAGUGGGGAAUAUUGCACAAUGGGCGAAAGCCUGAUGCAGCGACGCCGCGUGAGGGAUGAAGGCCUUCGGGUUGUAAACCUCUUUCAGUAGGGAAGAAGCGCAAGUGACGGUACCUACAGAAGAAGCACCGGCUAACUACGUG